RNAcentral lists this ribosomal RNA (505 nucleotides) under uncultured bacterium. RNAcentral's name for it is "partial 16S ribosomal RNA". It matches the Rfam family "Bacterial small subunit ribosomal RNA", at positions 28 to 507 of the family's 1533-position model. The record is from RNAcentral.
GACGAACGCUGGCGGCGUGCCUAAUACAUGCAAGUAGAACGCACAGUUUAUACCGUAGCUUGCUACACCAUAGACUGUGAGUUGCGAACGGGUGAGUAACGCGUAGGUAACCUGCCUGGUAGCGGGGGAUAACUAUUGGAAACGAUAGCUAAUACCGCAUAAUAUUAAUUAUUGCAUGAUAAUUAAUUGAAAGGUGCAAUUGCACCACUACCAGAUGGACCUGCGUUGUAUUAGCUAGUAGGUGAGGUAACGGCUCACCUAGGCGACGAUACAUAGCCGACCGGGGAGGGUGAUCGGCCAAACUGGGACUGGGACACGGCCCAGACUGCUACGGGAGGGAGCAGGAGGGAAACGUCGGCAAUGGACGGAAGUCUGACCGAGCAACGCCGCGUGAGUGAAGAAGGUUGUCGGGUCGGAAAGGUCUGUUGUAAGGGAAGAACGGGUGUGAGAGUGGAAAGUUCACACUGUGACGGUAACUGAACAGAAAGGGACGGCUAACUACGUG